AGGCCGAAAGGCGUAGUCGAUGGGAAACAGGUUAAUAUUCCUGUACCGCGCGUAACUGCGACGGGGUGACGGAGAAGGCUAGGCUGGCCUGGUGAUGGUUAUCCAGGUUUAAGCAAGUAGGCUUGAGAUUUAGGCAAAUCCGGAUCUCUUUAAGGCCGAGACGUGAUGACGAACCGAACCUAUAGGAUCGGGAAGUAGUCGAUGCCACGCUUCCAAGAAAAACCUCUAAGCUUCAGGUUACGAACGAUCGUACCCCAAACCGACACAGGUGGACAGGUA
This 279-nucleotide ribosomal RNA is filed under the name uncultured Chlorophyceae. RNAcentral's name for it is "partial Bacterial large subunit ribosomal RNA". It matches the Rfam family "Bacterial large subunit ribosomal RNA", at positions 1399 to 1673 of the family's 2925-position model. Lineage: Eukaryota; Viridiplantae; Chlorophyta; Chlorophyceae. The record is from RNAcentral.